RNAcentral lists this ribosomal RNA (445 nucleotides) under uncultured bacterium. RNAcentral describes it as "bacterial SSU rRNA". It matches the Rfam family "Bacterial small subunit ribosomal RNA", at positions 330 to 792 of the family's 1533-position model. The record is from RNAcentral.
GCCAGACUCCUACGGGAGGCAGCAGUGGGGAAUAUUGCACAAUGGGGGAAACCCUGAUGCAGCAACGCCGCGUGAGUGAAGAAGUAUUUCGGUAUGUAAAGCUCUAUCAGCAGGGAAGAAGAUGACGGUACCUGAUUAAGAAGCCCCGGCUAACUACGUGCCAGCAGCCGCGGUAAUACGUAGGGGGCAAGCGUUAUCCGGAUUUACUGGGUGUAAAGGGAGCGUAGACGGCAUGGCAAGUCUGAAGUGAAAGCCCGGGGCUCAACCGCGGGACUGCUUUGGAAACUGUUAAGCUGGAGUGCAGGAGAGGUAAGUGGAAUUCCUAGUGUAGCGGUGAAAUGCGUAGAUAUUAGGAGGAACACCAGUGGCGAAGGCGGCCUGCUGGACUGUAACUGACGUUGAGGCUCGAAAGCGUGGGGAGCAAACAGGAUUAGAUACCCCAGUA